AUUGUUUGCCUCCAUAAUUUAAUCAUCACUGACAGCUCGAGCUGGAUGAGAAGUCGGGAAAUGAGCUCAAGCUGUGCAAAAGGUUUCUGCAGAAAUAAGAAUAAGUGAAGUGAGAAGUGAAACUUUCAUUGUUAAAUAUCAUCGAGGAGAGUUGAACAAGAAGCACUAUCCACAAUCACUGAGCGACGAAGUAUGGUGUUUGCAAAAAAUAGCCAAAGACAGUGCUCUGCACAAGUGCAUGACUUCGAGAGGAAUCGACACUGUUCAAGAUUUCCUCCAGCUGUACGAAGCGGAUGCGCCUUUCUAAGAAACAAAGUACUUGGAAAUGGGAUCACCAAGCAGACAUGGGAGACCAUCGUCAGACAUGCCAGCCCCUGUGUAAUCAACGAUGACAAGAUGUAUUUCUACCAAGCUUUGAACAAGGCCAGUAUAGUGUUCAAUUCGGUCAUGAAAGUUUCUCAAGCAGCACUCGAUGGCCAAAUUUACCAGUUGGUAGACAUAUUGGCCCACUCUCAGAAGAUUUUGUUGCAGAACUUGAAAUGGCUAGAUUACAAUAACAAGAAUCAAUGGCGGUGCUCAAUGCCCUGCCCAGCGUCUCUCUUCUGAGAGCCCCAACCAAUUUGCCUACAGAGCCGUCAAUCGGCCUGAGCCUGCCUCUUCAUCAUCUGUUUUACACAGAGCUAAACCAAGCUAUUGUGCAUCGUGCUGCUACAAUGUCACAGAGAUCAGACAAUUAGUUUUCUGGGGCCACAGUCAUAUCACUGCAAAAAUCUUUGAUCCGACUGUAAUUCAACAGCUUGGCAAGGGAGGACUUUUUGUCCAGUUUGAGUGCUGGCGAAAGCAGUCAUCUUCCUGGUUACACACAAGAUGUGUUUGCGUCGAAUAUCCAUUUGUCUCCUGAAGAGCUUUUCCAAGUGCCAUCUCCAAUCCCUAGCAAUUUGAUGUGGACACCGGAGCAUACUUUCAUCAUUGAGUCGAGCAGCGGGGCAGAUUUUGGGAUCUGGCCAUCUCGCACGGGUUAUGGAGUCCAUAAUUCUAGGAUUGCAAGGGUCAAGGUGGCAUGGUGCAAGAUCCGUGAUGUAGUGAAGUGGGGAUUGGUUCAGCGCGUUGCGGCUGCAAAGAGAACAGCAAUGUUCAAUUGUGCAAGUUAUCCAGCUGUAUAAAUGGAGAGUCUGAUCCCCCAAAAGAAUUUUGGGUGCUUCAGGAGUGCGAAGCUCUCACCCACACAGGCCAGUCAUCACACGCGAAGUACAAAAAAAAAGGAAAUUCAUGAUACUUGAUGCGAGGAGAUUGUCUUGGGGGUAUGAGAAUGUCUAGUUCUAGGAUUGUGCACCAUCAAGAUGGGGCUGCCAAUUGGACGUGUCUUCUCUCUAUGGGUCACGCAAGCUGAUCUUAGGAAGUACCUCAAUACAGGGGUUCUUCCUCAAGAAUUGUAAGGCUUUUGCUCUCUUCUUCAAGAAUUGUUUGGCAUUCUGUUUGUCCCAAAUACAUCAUCCCUUGAUUUGUCAGUUUACUGCCCUGA
This is a long non-coding RNA of Eucalyptus grandis, 1522 nucleotides long. RefSeq lists it as uncharacterized. The record is from RefSeq and is a predicted model, not a curated record. The transcript is spliced from 6 exons. Lineage: Eukaryota; Viridiplantae; Streptophyta; Magnoliopsida; Myrtales; Myrtaceae.